Molecule: ribosomal RNA, 497 nt
Filed under: uncultured bacterium
Lineage: Bacteria
Description: partial 16S ribosomal RNA
Rfam family: Bacterial small subunit ribosomal RNA
Source: RNAcentral
GAUGAACGCUGGCGGCGUGCCUAAUACAUGCAAGUCGAGCGAACAGACGAGGAGCUUGCUCCUCUGACGUUAGCGGCGGACGGGUGAGUAACACGUGGAUAACCUACCUAUAAGACUGGGAUAACUUCGGGAAACCGGAGCUAAUACCGGAUAAUAUAUUGAACCGCAUGGUUCAAUAGUGAAAGACGGUUUUGCUGUCACUUAUAGAUGGAUCCGCGCCGCAUUAGCCAGUUGGUAAGGUAACGGCUUACCAAGGCAACGAUGCGUAGCCGACCUGAGAGGGUGAUCGGCCACACUGGAACUGAGACACGGUCCAGACUCCUACGGGAGGCAGCAGUAGGGAAUCUUCCGCAAUGGGCGAGAGCUUGACGGAGCAACGCCGCGUGAGUGAUGAAGGUCUUCGGAUCGUAAAACUCUGUUAUUAGGGAAGAACAAAUGUGUAAGUAACUAUGCACGUCUUGACGGUACCUAAUCAGAAAGCCACGGCUAACUACGUG